AAUCUUAUAGUUUAGCUUAAAACAUUAAAUUGCAAAUUUAAUAAUGAAUUAAUAUUCUAAGAUUU
This 65-nucleotide transfer RNA is filed under the name Idiocerus laurifoliae. Its description in RNAcentral is "tRNA-Cys". It matches the Rfam family "tRNA". Rfam says of the family: Transfer RNA (tRNA) molecules are approximately 80 nucleotides in length. Their secondary structure includes four short double-helical elements and three loops (D, anti-codon, and T loops). The record is from RNAcentral. Lineage: Eukaryota; Metazoa; Arthropoda; Insecta; Hemiptera; Cicadellidae.